CUCCUAGGACAGCACCUUCAGGAGUAAUAAUGCAGGCAGUAGCUGGCAAUUAAGGAGGCACUCCAUGUUGUUUGUUGGGACUAUGGCCCUCCUGAGUGGAGUGUUAACACUAAAGCUUCCAGAAACCCUUGGGAAACGGCUAGCAACUACUUGGGAGGAGGCUGCAAAACUGGAGUCAGAGAAUGAAAGCAAGUCAAGCAAAUUACUUCUCACAACUAAUAAUAGUGGGCUGGAAAAAACGGAAGCGAUUACCCCCAGGGAUUCUGGUCUUGGUGAAUAAAUGUGCCAUGCCUGCUGUCUAGCACCUGAAAUAUUAUUUACCCUAAUGCCUUUGUAUUAGAGGAAUCUUAUUCUCAUCUCCCAUAUGUUGUUUGUAUGUCUUUUUAAUAAAUUUUGUAAGAAAAUUUUAAAGCAAAUAUGUUAUAAAAGAAAUAAAAACUAAGAUGAAAAUUCUCAGUUUUAAAAA
Molecule: long non-coding RNA, 466 nt
Filed under: Homo sapiens (human)
Lineage: Eukaryota; Metazoa; Chordata; Mammalia; Primates; Hominidae
Description: non-protein coding lnc-SLC22A16-2:1
Source: RNAcentral